UACAGAGGGGGCAAGCGUUGUUCGGAAUUACUGGGCGUAAAGGGCGCGUAGGCGGCCUGUUAAGUCGAACGUGAAAUCCCCGGGCUCAACCCGGGAACUGCGUCCGAUACUGGCAGGCUUGAAUCCGGGAGAGGGAUGCGGAAUUCCAGGUGUAGCGGUGAAAUGCGUAGAUAUCAGGAGGAACACCGGUGGCGAAGGCGGAUCUCUGGGCCAUUACUGACGCUGAGGAGCGAAAGCGUGGGGAGCGAACAGG
RNAcentral lists this ribosomal RNA (253 nucleotides) under uncultured bacterium. RNAcentral's name for it is "partial 16S ribosomal RNA". It matches the Rfam family "Bacterial small subunit ribosomal RNA", at positions 524 to 776 of the family's 1533-position model. The record is from RNAcentral.